Molecule: long non-coding RNA, 316 nt
Organism: Neofelis nebulosa (Clouded leopard)
Lineage: Eukaryota; Metazoa; Chordata; Mammalia; Carnivora; Felidae
Exons: 2
Source: RefSeq, a predicted model, not a curated record
UAUACCCACAAUUGUGUUUGCUUACAUCAUAAUCAACCUUUAUGAAGAGCAGCCAACAGCAAUAAAAUGGAUACAAGAAACAGACCAGAUCCUAUUUAUGAGAUGAAGAUUAGCUACCGAACAUACUUUCAAAGAUUUGAGGCCAUUACUGAAGCCUGGCGAAAACAGCACGUAGCUCUUGAAACAUUUUCUGAAGAACACUUGGAAACUCUGAUUCCUGGCCUAAGCUCUACCGUGGCAUUUUCCUCUCAGUGCCCUUUAUGGCGAAGACUCAUCCUUUUUUCAUCUGUUAUAUUUAAUUAGAGUCAUCAGAAUG